RNAcentral lists this ribosomal RNA (807 nucleotides) under uncultured fungus. Its description in RNAcentral is "eukaryotic LSU rRNA". It matches the Rfam family "Eukaryotic large subunit ribosomal RNA", at positions 24 to 664 of the family's 3401-position model. Lineage: Eukaryota; Fungi. The record is from RNAcentral.
CCCGCUGAACUUAAGCAUAUUAUUAAGCGGAGGAAAAGAAACUAACAAGGAUGCCCUCAGUAACGGCGAGUGAAGCGGGCAAAGCUCAACCUGAAAAUCGGAUUCCUUAGCGGGAUUUCGAAUUGUGGGCUACAGACGCGUGAUCAGUGUGUGACCCAGGUAUAAAUCUCUUUGAAACGAGGUAUCAUAGAGGGUGAGAAUCCCGUCUGUGACUUGGAGUUCGCCGCGUACGAUCCGUGUUCGCAGAGUCGCGUUGUUUGGGAUUGCAGCGCUAAAUGGGUGGUAAAUUUCAUCUAAAGCUAAAUAUCGACGAGAGACCGAUAGCGAACAAGUACCGUGAGGGAAAGAUGAAAAGAACUUUGAAAAGAGAGUUAAAAAGUACUUGAAAUUGCUAAGAGGGAAGCACUGGAAACCAGUCGUGCUGCGCGUGUAUAUUUAGCAUGUCUGUCUGGAUCCGGGUGGUUGCUGCGAGCCAAAAGCCGCACUGCCGUUCGGUGAAUUGCGGGCUAGCGACCUGUACUGUGUAGCGAGUCAGAAUCAAUUCGGUUCGAGUGAGAAAGCUAUCAUAACGGUAGGAGCGCGGGGGCAACCCCAAGUUCUGUUUAGUAUGGUAGUGCUAACUUGGGCUGGAUUGAGGGACAAUUUCAACGCGCCCCGCAUGGGUUUGCGCUCCCCGACCCUGGGUGCUCAGGAGGUUUGGACAACAAAGUUGUGCUAUCUCUGAAGGCGCUUACUGGAAAGGAUGAGCGACACGCAGCGUUCGAGAUUCUGACGAAAUGGUUUUCAUUGACCCGUCUUGAAACACGG